CAAGGAGCCGCAUCACAAAAAAAUGUUCGGGGUAUGCUAAUUUACGGAAAAAGUAAUCUCACUUUGUACCCCGAAAAUUUAACCACAUUUGUGAAAAUGUCACAGCUUACUAACGAGCUAUCCAAGUUUACGAUAUGGACUGAGCUACAGGAAAAAACGUUACCAUUACCGCCUAUGUAAAAACAAUUAAAGAUAUUGACUCAACUGUAGCAAAAAGGGACAAACACA
Molecule: long non-coding RNA, 228 nt
Filed under: Mytilus galloprovincialis (Mediterranean mussel)
Lineage: Eukaryota; Metazoa; Mollusca; Bivalvia; Mytilida; Mytilidae
Source: RNAcentral